GAUGAACGCUGGCGGCGUGCUUAACACAUGCAAGUCGAACGAGAAAUGUAGACGGAAACCUUCGGGCGGAAGCCUUCAUUUCGAGUGGCGGACGGGUGAGUAACGCGUGGGUAACCUGCCUCAUACAGGGGGAUAACAGUUGGAAACGACUGUUAAUACCGCAUCAGACCACAGCAUCGCAUGAUGCGGGGGUAAAAACUCCGGUGGUAUGAGAUGGACCCGCGUUCGGUUAGCCAGUUGGCGGGGUAACGGCCCAGCAAAGCGACGAUCGAUAGCCGAUCUGAGAGGAUGACCGGCCACAUUGGGACUGAGACACGGCCCAAACUCCUACGGGAGGCAGCAGUGGGGAAUAUUGCACAAUGGGGGAAACCCUGAUGCAGCGACGCCGCGUGAGUGAAGAAGUACUUCGGUAUGUAAAGCUCUAUCAGCAGGGAAGAAAAUGACGGUACCUGAGUAAGAAGCCCCGGCUAACUACGUG
This 478-nucleotide ribosomal RNA is filed under the name uncultured bacterium. Its description in RNAcentral is "partial 16S ribosomal RNA". It matches the Rfam family "Bacterial small subunit ribosomal RNA", at positions 28 to 507 of the family's 1533-position model. The record is from RNAcentral.